This 1177-nucleotide long non-coding RNA is filed under the name Anser brachyrhynchus (Pink-footed goose). RNAcentral describes it as "lncRNA (ENSABRG00000019274.1)". Lineage: Eukaryota; Metazoa; Chordata; Aves; Anseriformes; Anatidae. The record is from RNAcentral.
UAUUUAGCAUUGUUUUAUAAACUGGGGAAACUGAAGUAUGGAACUGCUUGACUGAAAGUCCUGGGUGCUGCAGGACACAAGGUGCGUGCAGCUCCUCUGCUCACUUGCAAACACGUCAGCUCGUGGCUCUUCCCAGCUCGUCCUCUUCUGGAGGAAAACACCAGUGUAAACCCUUGCUUUUCCUCUCCCCUUCUCCUAUGCUGAAGUAAUCAUGUUCCCAAAGGAAGGUCCAUUAAUUUAUGGCCCCAAGUUCCUGUGCUGGCUCUUUUAUGGGAAGCAGUUAAUGACCUUAGUCUCUGUGAAUCACACACUUGGUCAGAAAGGCCCUUCAGAGAGGUGUUUGAGGAACACGCAGAUGUUCCUUGAAUAAUGCCUUUUUUUUUUUUUUUUAAGUGAUAAAAUACAGCAGGUUAUGAUAAAAAGGAGGAAACUGCUUUUUUUUUUUUUUUUUUUUUUAAACUUUCCCCUCCCCUCCUGGCCUCUGUAAAAAGCACAGCCUGCAUCUAUGUAACUAAUCAGAUUUUCUUGCUGAUUGGACCCUAAAUAAUUACUGCAUCUUUGGCUUCCUAAUAGCUGGGCUGUUAAGAACAGAAGAGGCUCUAUUAGGAGACAGAGACGCAAUUGGGAGCAUCACAGUGCUGGAUUGGUGUUAAUCAGACCAGGCUGGGGACCAGCACGCUGUCCUGGGCAGCACGUGUUGCUGAGGAGGGGAAGCAUCUCUCAGCUGAGAGAAUAAAUGAUGAGCUGUUUUCUCUUCUUGUAACAGCACAACAAAGCGCUGCCAGGAGCCUGGUGCGUCUGAGGAGCCCUGCAAUAAUGAACAGGAAAAUGAAGCCUAGUUCUUGUGAACAAUCUUGUGUGCUAAACAGCCACAAUAGCGAGAUGUUGAGAUCAUUAGGAUGAAUGCACGUUGCUCAUCGGUCUGAAUCACCACAGCCCUGGGUGUGUGCUUCAGUAUCAUCUGUAUCCACUGGUAUGCAGGAGUCGCAUGCAGAGACAAUUUCUUUGCCAUGCCUGGUUGGUAGGUGUUUGACUUGGAGGUAUGAUAGUGGUGGCAGGAGGAUUCUCUCUGCUAGUCCUAUUUUCUGACUGGGCUUGUGCAGCCACUGCUCUCAAACGAUCCUCAUGAUGAUGUGGCAGUUUCCCUUAACAAUAGUGAUCCUAUUCUGAAAGGUGA